GCCUGGGUGGCUCAGCGGUUGAGCGGCUGCCUUCAGCUCAGGGUGGGAUCCCGAGAUGUGGGAUCAAGUCCCACAUCAGGCU
This 82-nucleotide transfer RNA is filed under the name Canis lupus familiaris (dog). It matches the Rfam family "tRNA". From Rfam's summary of the family: Transfer RNA (tRNA) molecules are approximately 80 nucleotides in length. Their secondary structure includes four short double-helical elements and three loops (D, anti-codon, and T loops). RNAcentral also lists the same sequence under 1 other name. Lineage: Eukaryota; Metazoa; Chordata; Mammalia; Carnivora; Canidae. The record is from Rfam by way of RNAcentral.